Molecule: transfer RNA, 88 nt
Filed under: Desulfobacterales bacterium S3730MH5
Lineage: Bacteria; Pseudomonadati; Thermodesulfobacteriota; Desulfobacteria; Desulfobacterales
Also listed under: 3 other names
Description: tRNA-Leu
Rfam family: tRNA
About the family: Transfer RNA (tRNA) molecules are approximately 80 nucleotides in length. Their secondary structure includes four short double-helical elements and three loops (D, anti-codon, and T loops).
Source: RNAcentral
GCGAGAGUGGCGAAAUUGGCAAACGCACUGGACUUAGGAUCCAGCUCCCGUUAGAGGAUUGGGGGUUCAAGUCCCCCCUCUCGCACCA